UACGGAGGGUGCAAGCGUUAUCCGGAUUCACUGGGUUUAAAGGGUGCGUAGGAGGGCAGGUAAGUCAGUGGUGAAAUCCCCGAGCUUAACUUGGGAACUGCCGUUGAUACUAUCUGUCUUGAAUAUCGUGGAGGUGAGCGGAAUAUGUCAUGUAGCGGUGAAAUGCUUAGAUAUGACAUAGAACACCAAUUGCGAAGGCAGCUCGCUACACAUAUAUUGACUCUGAGGCACGAAAGCGUGGGGAUCAAACAGG
This 253-nucleotide ribosomal RNA is filed under the name uncultured bacterium. RNAcentral's name for it is "partial 16S ribosomal RNA". It matches the Rfam family "Bacterial small subunit ribosomal RNA", at positions 524 to 776 of the family's 1533-position model. The record is from RNAcentral.